This 514-nucleotide ribosomal RNA is filed under the name Salmonella enterica subsp. enterica serovar Typhimurium. Its description in RNAcentral is "partial 23S ribosomal RNA". It matches the Rfam family "Bacterial large subunit ribosomal RNA", at positions 1154 to 1641 of the family's 2925-position model. The record is from RNAcentral. Lineage: Bacteria; Pseudomonadati; Pseudomonadota; Gammaproteobacteria; Enterobacterales; Enterobacteriaceae.
CGUAUCACCCAAGACAACUUUACGGAGUUGACGAUUGACGGAGCGAAGCGACGUCAAAGCGUUCAUUAAAGUCGAGUUGGCUUAGGGAUACGUUCGUUGGGUAGGGGAGCGUUCUGUAAGCCUGUGAAGGUGUGUCGUGAGGCAUGCUGGAGGUAUCAGAAGUGCGAAUGCUGACAUAAGUAACGAUAAAGCGGGUGAAAAGCCCGCUCGCCGGAAGACCAAGGGUUCCUGUCCAACGUUAAUCGGGGCAGGGUGAGUCGACCCCUAAGGCGAGGCCGAAAGGCGUAGUCGAUGGGAAACGGGUUAAUAUUCCCGUACUUGGUGUUACUGCGAAGGGGGGACGGAGAAGGCUAUGUUGGCCGGGCGACGGUUGUCCCGGUUUAAGCGUGUAGGUGUGUGUUCCAGGUAAAUCCGGUUCACUUUAACACUGAGGCGUGAUGACGAGGCACUACGGUGCUGAAGCAACAAAUGCCCUGCUUCCAGGAAAAGCCUCUAAGCAUCAGGUAACAUCAAA